Ostrinia furnacalis (Asian corn borer) is the source of this 356-nucleotide long non-coding RNA. RefSeq lists it as uncharacterized. Lineage: Eukaryota; Metazoa; Arthropoda; Insecta; Lepidoptera; Crambidae. The transcript is spliced from 2 exons. The record is from RefSeq and is a predicted model, not a curated record.
UGGAAUAUGAUGAAGCAAGGAUGUCAAGGAAACCACGCUGACAAAGGUGUGAGAUGCAGAAAAGUAUUUAAGUACGAGAAAUGAUGACGCAAACUAUGAAGAUACUCCCUCCGUAACUUGUCUUGUGGUCACGUAAGUGGUGAACAAUUUGACUAACGAUGGCCCCAGAGCAGAUUUGACUUGAGUUUUAGAUAUGGUGACCUAUCUGUCUGCGGGUUGGCCCUGUGGUGAGCAAAUCAGUCAAGCACAAUACCAAAGUGAAGCUUAACACUGAGCAAGGGUACUCCACAUAAGUGAUUUGGAGUUGAACAGAAGGUAAUGCAAUACAAAAGGCAUCAGCUGUGAUAUUUGGUGAG